GAGGGCCGGCGUGGGGCCGUGGUUGAGCUGCGCCCCGUUGCUCCCAGCGCCUGAUGCGGAUCUUCGUGAACGACGACCGCCACGUGAUGGCGAAGCACAGCGCCGUGUACCCGACGCAGGAGGAGCUGGAGGCGGUGCAGAACAUGGUGUCCCACACCGAGCGCGCGCUCAAGGCCGUCUCCGAUUGGAUCGACGAGCAGGAGAAGGUCGGCGGCGGGGAGCAGCCCGAGGCCGAGGCCAUGGAGACGGCGGCGGAGGAGGAGAACAAGGAGGGGGGGUAAGGACGUGGCUUCACCACGAAGAUGUGAUGUGCGGCGUUGGGUUCCCCAAGAUGUUCAGCGUGGGGUUCCCUGAGUUGUUCAGUGUUGGGUUCCCUGUGAUGUUCAGCCCUGGUUUCCCUAUGAUGUUCAGUGUUGGGUUCCCCAGGUUGUUCAGUGUUGGGUUCCCUGGGGUCCCUGUAAUGUUCAGUGCUCGGUUCCCCGUGAUGUUCAGCAUUGGGUUCCCCGUAAUGUUCAGCAUUGGUUUCUCUGAGUUGUUCAGCAUUGGGUUCCCCAAGAUGUUCAGCGUUGGGUUCCCUGAGUUGUUCAGUGUUGGGUUCCCUGGGUUCCCCGUGAUGUUCAGCGUUGGGUUCCCUGUGACGUUCAGCGUUGGGUUCCCUGUGAUGUUCAGCGUUGGGUUCCCCGAGUUGUUCAGCGUUGGGUUCCCCGUGAUGUUCAGCAUUGAGUUCCUCAGGUUAUUCAGCGUUGGGUUCCCCAAGUUGUUCAGUGUUGGGUUCCCUGGGUUCCCCGUGAUGUUCAGUGUUGGGUUCCCCGUGAUGUUCAGUGUUGGGUUCCCCGUAAUGUUCAGCAUUGGGUUCCCUGCGAUGUUCAGCGCUGGGUUCCCCGUGAUGUUCAGCAUUGGGUUCCGCAGGUUGUUCAGCGUUGAAUUCCCCAAGUUGUUCAGUGUUGGGUUUCCUGGGUUCCCCGUGAUGUUCAGCGUUGGGUUCCCUGUGAUCUUCAUUGUUGGGUUCCAUGUGAUGUUCAGUGUUGGGUUCCCCUUGAUGUUCAGCGUUGGGUUCCCUGCGAUGUUCCGCGCUGGGUUCCCCGUGAUGUUCAGCAUUGGGUUCCCCAGGUUGUUCAGCGUUGGGUUCCCUGGGUUCCUUCCCCGUGAUGUUCAGCGUUAGGUUCCCCAGGUUGUUCAGCAUUGAAUUCCCCGAGUUGUUCAGUGUUGGGUUCCCUGGGUUCCCCGUGAUGUUCAGUAUUGGGUUCCCUGUGAUGUUCAGCGUUGGGUUCCCCGUGAUGUUCAGCGUUGGGUUCCCCGAGUUGUUUAGUGUUGGAUUCCCUGUGAUGUUCAGUGUUGGGUUCCCCGGGUUCCCCGUGAUGUUCAGUGUUGGGUUCCCCGAGUUGUUCAGUGUUGGGUUCCCCAAGAUGUUCAGCAUUGGGUUCCCCAAGAUGUUCAGUGUUGGGUUCCCCAUGAUAUUCAGUGUUGGGUUCCCUGGGUUCCCUGGGUUGUUCAGUGUUGGGUUCUUCGAGUGUUUUUGAAAUGGAGUUCCCCAAGGGCUCUUUGAGCAUUGGGUUCCUCGAGGGGUCUUUGAGGGUUGGGUUCCACGAUGCCUUUGAGGGUUGGGUUCCGCGACGUUUUUGAGUGCUGGGUUUCCCAAGGGGUCUUUGAGCGUUGGGUUCCCUGACAUUUUUGAGUGUUGUGUUCCCCGAGGGGUCUUUGAGUGUUGGGUUCCGUAGCAUCUUCGAGCAUUGGGUUCCCCAAGGGAUCUUUGAGGGUUGAGUUCCCCAAUGUUUUCGAGCAGUGCUUCCCCAAGGGGUCUUUGAAGGCUGGGUUUCCCGAAUGCCUUUGAGCAUUGGG
This is a long non-coding RNA of Numida meleagris (helmeted guineafowl), 1839 nucleotides long. The record is from Ensembl. NCBI's taxonomy places the organism in Eukaryota, Metazoa, Chordata, Aves, Galliformes, Numididae.